AUUGUUCAAAUCUAGUCUUUAAAGAUAAAAUAGCAAUAUCAACUGUAACAAGAAAAUAAUUGAUCCUAAAAUACUAUAAGUAAUUUUUUUUAUUUAUUUAUUGUAGGGUAUAUAAUAUAAGUGGGCCUAAAUUUUGGGGCCCCCAAAAAUUGGGGGCCCUAGGCUAUUGCCCCACCAAAUGUUAAUAAGGGCCGGCCCU
RNAcentral lists this long non-coding RNA (199 nucleotides) under Salvia miltiorrhiza (redroot sage). Its description in RNAcentral is "long non-coding RNA (SMIL_LNC002539)". Lineage: Eukaryota; Viridiplantae; Streptophyta; Magnoliopsida; Lamiales; Lamiaceae. The record is from RNAcentral.